UUGACCAAUGCUAAGUAUUCUGAGAUGUAGGAAUCAAAGAUUUUGAUUAAGCUUUGUAACUUCGAGAUUCAU
RNAcentral lists this small nucleolar RNA (72 nucleotides) under Vicugna pacos (alpaca). Its description in RNAcentral is "Small nucleolar RNA SNORD113/SNORD114 family (ENSVPAG00000017629.1)". Lineage: Eukaryota; Metazoa; Chordata; Mammalia; Artiodactyla; Camelidae. The record is from RNAcentral.